AAGUGCCGUUUUGAGGCACUUUUCCCUCGGGUCUGCUGGAAAUCAUUUGAUUUUAUAUUAGAAAAUCAUGCUUAUCCAGCAAUAUUUGUCUUUAGUAUCACUUAAACAGGUUUAAAAUUAAUUCCUCACCUUCUGAUAGCAUUGUAUUGUGUUUAUAAGAUCCAUCUACACAAUCUACAUUAAGCUUGACAUACAAGUUAUUUUUUAAAAAUGCUGAGAUGUGAGCUUGAAAAAAGACAAAGAAUGUGUUUUUUCACAACAGGAAAUCUAGUUGUGAUAAUAAUCACAUCUUAGCUAUAAUAAAUAUGCAGUGUUGCUGACACAAAUAGGCUUACCGAGUAAUUAGAUUUUUUUUUCCUUUCUUUUUUUUUUCUCAUUUUCAGUUUGUUGUUUGAUUCUUGGUUAAAUAUUGAGAGGCACAGAAGACUCGGUCACACAAAAAACACUGAUGUUUGCAGUAGGCCUGUAAAAAUCAAUCAAAGAAAGCUGAGUAAUUUUCAAAUAAAUACUUUAAACAGUUACAACUUUCACUUUCUUAUAUGACAUUUGCAGCUAGCUUUCACCCACUGGUUAGUUUUAAGGACUAAAAACAAUUUUUUAGGGGGACACGAUUGUGGCUGUGGGUUAAAAUACACUGCUCCACAGAGGUAACCCUUCAAGUUGAAACAUGCCAAGUUGGGAGGAAAAGUGAUGUCUAAUGCCAACUUUAUGGUUUAUGCACUAGGACACCUUGUUCCCUAUAGGACAAUAGAUUUGUUAAAAGCAGAUUAUUUUAUUCCUCGGAAAUGAAAAUGACCGAUUACAUGUACAUUUUCAGACCAGGUAUGGUAAUUAAGCAGUAUAAAGUCCAUGUCGAAUGUAAUAUGUGGUGCUCCAGUGGGUCAGGCAGAAGGCUUUUAUCUGGGAGAGUGGGGUUAGGGUCCUGUGUGAAGCCAAAAGCAGCACCGAAUUACAUUUGCCAAGUAUCAAACACCUGAGUAUCCAUGCACUGAAGGAAAAAGAGGAAAAUGGCUUUUUUUCUCACCUUUUCUGCUCACUGCAGCUUUAAAUUGUCAGUUGUGGGGGGAUAUUAUCAUUAUAUCCACCACAGAAGUAUAAUUACUCUUAUUUAAGUUAGAAUCAAAGUUAAUGAGCUGAUUACAGCCUUAGAUGCUCAUGUGGGGCCAUUCUGGCUGUUCCCAGGCUGAGGUUUAAAUCUGAAGGUUGUUGUGUUUUCGCCAUCUUAGAUUCUGACUCCGGAACAACCUUCCUGAGGAGAUGAGAGGGCAGACAGAGGAUACCUGCGUGCAGCUCAUAGGAUUGAUUUCGUUGGCAGAGAAGCAAACUGCGAUAAUAGCUGAACAAGCAGGAAGAGGACAGCUGGAUACUUUUACCUGCGCUCCCUAACAAGAAGAAGGGCUGCGUCCUUCUGAAUCUCACAACACACACACAUACACCUCAACCACUCUUAUCUUCACUCCCUACGCACUAACAUUCCGGAACGGAAUGUUCCAGUAAGAUAGCCACAUACUGUUAUAUAGUCAUUUUUCUGAGAAGAGCAAAAAUACGCCGCCCUGUUGUGUGGGCACCAGUGACUAUAAAUGCACGAAUAAAG
Long non-coding RNA from Oreochromis aureus, 1594 nucleotides. RefSeq lists it as uncharacterized. The transcript has 3 exons. The record is from RefSeq and is a predicted model, not a curated record. Lineage: Eukaryota; Metazoa; Chordata; Actinopteri; Cichliformes; Cichlidae.